GGGUGCUGACGAGUGGCGAACGGGUGAGUAAUGUAUCGGAACGUGCCCAGUCGUGGGGGAUAACGCAGCGAAAGCUGCGCUAAUACCGCAUACGAUCUACGGAUGAAAGCGGGGGACCGUAAGGCCUCGCGCGAUUGGAGCGGCCGAUAUCAGAUUAGGUAGUUGGUGGGGUAAAGGCUCACCAAGCCAACGAUCUGUAGCUGGUCUGAGAGGACGACCAGCCACACUGGGACUGAGACACGGCCCAGACUCCUACGGGAGGCAGCAGUGGGGAAUUUUGGACAAUGGGCGCAAGCCUGAUCCAGCAAUGCCGCGUGCAGGAAGAAGGCCUUCGGGUUGUAAACUGCUUUUGUACGGAACGAAACGGUCCUGGUUAAUACCUGGGGCUAAUGACGGUCCGU
This 401-nucleotide ribosomal RNA is filed under the name Hydrogenophaga sp. '14.2 MW-18'. Its description in RNAcentral is "bacterial SSU rRNA". It matches the Rfam family "Bacterial small subunit ribosomal RNA", at positions 83 to 481 of the family's 1533-position model. The record is from RNAcentral. Lineage: Bacteria; Pseudomonadati; Pseudomonadota; Betaproteobacteria; Burkholderiales; Comamonadaceae.